AUAGAGCAAUCGAUACUUUUCUGUUAAUAGCAUAUAUAUGUAAUUAUUUUUUUCUGUUUGUUUAAACUUGGCUUUUUUUUAUUAAAGAUUCAAAAGAAAAUAGGAAGAGGCUCAAAGUGAAAGUUAGGGAUGUUCUAAAUUUAUCUGGUAAAGAACGUAUCGUGCUUGAAUUCGAUUACCCGGACGAACCAUUUGGAGAAGCACAAGGCCUUCUUGCUGGCUUUUGUGGAAUUUUAGCAACUGACUGCUCCUUAUUUCCAAUUCACUUUGAGAAAUGGCCAGAUUUACCUAUAUCAUACUUCGACCAUGUAUUUGAUCAAAUUGUAAAGGUAUAAGCUCUAAUUCUUUCUGCUACACGUCUAUAUUAUUUUUGGACUUCAUAUUUGCAUGUAGCAGAUAAUCUAACCAAUGUUAUAUUCUUGAAGCAACAGUUUUAUUUUAAGACAGUCGAGUCAGUUGCAUGACGUUAUGUUUAUAAUUCUAUUUGAAAAAAGUGGAGCGCGAAUAUGCUAAACUUGUGGAGAGCAUUCUAUGAUCCACUCAAAAGUACAGCUCAGAUUAUGGAAAAUAUUCCGGCUGGGAUUCUAUGGAAUCAAUGGACUUCAUUUGUUGAUUACCGUUUUAAAGAAACAACUUUGGAAAUGUGCAAAAGGAAUACUGAAAUUCGAAAGAAACAAACAUUUACACAUACAGGUGGCUCCAAACCUAACUCCAGAAGAAGGGCUGAAAUGAUGGCUGAGACUGGAUGAAGGCCUGAACGUGCAUAACUUUAUCUUGAUACUUAUAAGAAACAAGAUGGUACAUAUGUGAAUGAGGCGGCAAAGGAGAUAUGCGAAACAAUUGAGCUUGGUUUGAGCCAAAGCACGGUGGAUGAGUCUGAAGUUUCGCCGAAUGAUGUUAUUGGUAAAGUGCUAGGAAAAGAGCACUCUGGAAGGGUAAGGUGCUUAGGAUUAGGAGUUGUCUCCAGCAAAGUUUUUAAACAUGCAAGACCUCAUUUUGGUGGUAUGAAUGCUUCAAGUAGUGAUGCUUCAUGUUUGAACCAUUGCCAAGAGAACUACAAUAAAUUGUUGAAUGCUCACAACCAAAGUCAAGAGAACUACAAAGAAAUAGUGAAUUCUCACAAACAAAUGAUGAAUGCUUUCAAGGCAUAUAUGAUAAUGAAAGAAGGGACAAUACCAGAGCAAUUUGCGGGGUUCUUUGCUUCUCCUCCUAUAACGCCAAAAGAUGCAGCUAGUGGAUCCCUAUCACCCAUGGACGCAAGAAGAUCAUCUGAUGGCAGUAAUCCAAGUGACAAUAAUUGAAGUUCUUUAUAAUUGAAUUAGAUAAUUAAUUAUGACAAUGUAAUUAUGUGAUUGGAGCGGAUGUUAGAAU
Molecule: non-coding RNA, 1371 nt
Organism: Nicotiana tabacum (common tobacco)
Lineage: Eukaryota; Viridiplantae; Streptophyta; Magnoliopsida; Solanales; Solanaceae
Source: RefSeq, a predicted model, not a curated record